Molecule: ribosomal RNA, 253 nt
Filed under: uncultured bacterium
Lineage: Bacteria
Description: partial 16S ribosomal RNA
Rfam family: Bacterial small subunit ribosomal RNA
Source: RNAcentral
UACGUAGGGGGCUAGCGUUGUCCGGAAUCAUUGGGCGUAAAGCGCGUGUAGGCGGCCUGGUAAGUCCGCUGUGAAAGUCGGGGGCUCAACCCUCGGAUGCCGGUGGAUACUGUCGGGCUCGAGUACGGAAGAGGCGAGUGGAAUUCCUGGUGUAGCGGUGAAAUGCGCAGAUAUCAGGAGGAACACCAAUUGCGAAGGCAGCUCGCUGGGACGUUACUGACGCUGAGACGCGAAAGCGUGGGGAGCAAACAGG